This 496-nucleotide ribosomal RNA is filed under the name uncultured bacterium. Its description in RNAcentral is "partial 16S ribosomal RNA". It matches the Rfam family "Bacterial small subunit ribosomal RNA", at positions 29 to 507 of the family's 1533-position model. The record is from RNAcentral.
AUGAACGCUGGCGGCGUGCCUCAUACAUGCAAGUCGCGCGAACAGACGAGGAGCUUGCUCCUCUGACGUUAGCGGCGGACGGGUGAGUAACACGUGGAUAACCUACCUAUAAGACUGGGAUAACUUCGGGAAACCGGAGCUAAUACCGGAUAAUAUAUUGAACCGCAUGGUUCAAUAGUGAAAGACGGUUUUGCUGUCACUUAUAGAUGGAUCCGCGCCGCAUUAGCUAGUUGGUAAGGUAACGGCUUACCAAGGCAACGAUGCGUAGUCGACCUGAGAGGGUGAUCGGCCACACUGGAACUGAGACACGGUCCAGACUCCUACGGGAGGCAGCAGUAGGGAAUCUUCCGCAAUGGGCGAAAGCUUGACGGAGCAACGCCGCGUGAGUGAUGAAGGUCUUCGGAUCGUAAAACUCUGUUAUUAGGGAAGAACAAAUGUGUAAGUAACUAUGCACGUCUUGACGGUACCUAAUCAGAAAGCCACGGCUAACUACGUG